UUAGGAAUCUUCCACAAUGGGCGAAAGCCUGAUGGAGCGACGCCGCGUGAGGGAUGAAGGCCUUAGGGUUGUAAACCUCUAAAAGAGGGACGAUAAUGACGGUACCUCUUGAAUAGCACCGGCUAACUCCGUGCCAGCAGCCGCGGUAAUACGGAGGGUGCAAGCGUUAUCCGGAAUCACUGGGCGUAAAGGGCGCGUAGGCGGUCUGUUAAGUCCGAUGUUAAAUCCCGGGGCUCAACCCCGGAUAAGCGUUGGAUACUGGCAGGCUAGACGGUUGGAGAGGCGAGUGGAAUUACCAGUGUAGCGGUGGAAUGCGUAGAUACUGGUAGGAACACCCAUUGCGAAGGCAGCUCGCUGAACAACACGUGACGCUGAGGCGCGAAAGUGUGGGGAGCAAACC
Molecule: ribosomal RNA, 400 nt
Filed under: uncultured bacterium
Lineage: Bacteria
Description: bacterial SSU rRNA
Rfam family: Bacterial small subunit ribosomal RNA
Source: RNAcentral